RNAcentral lists this transfer RNA (78 nucleotides) under Phanerochaete carnosa HHB-10118-sp. It matches the Rfam family "tRNA". Rfam says of the family: Transfer RNA (tRNA) molecules are approximately 80 nucleotides in length. Their secondary structure includes four short double-helical elements and three loops (D, anti-codon, and T loops). Further hydrogen bonds mediate the characteristic L-shaped molecular structure. tRNAs have two regions of fundamental functional importance: the anti-codon, which is responsible for specific mRNA codon recognition, and the 3' end, to which the tRNAs corresponding amino acid is attached (by aminoacyl-tRNA synthetases). tRNAs cope with the degeneracy of the genetic code in two manners: having more than one tRNA (with a specific anti-codon) for a particular amino acid; and 'wobble' base-pairing, i.e. permitting non-standard base-pairing at the 3rd anti-codon position. Lineage: Eukaryota; Fungi; Basidiomycota; Agaricomycetes; Polyporales; Phanerochaetaceae. The record is from Rfam by way of RNAcentral.
GAGUCCGUGGUGUAGUGGUUAUCACGCUCGUCUCACAGAGUGCACGAGCGGUCGCCGGUUCGAUCCCGGCCGGACUCA